This 765-nucleotide ribosomal RNA is filed under the name Ganoderma lucidum. RNAcentral's name for it is "eukaryotic LSU rRNA". The stretch from base 234 to 387 matches the Rfam family "5.8S ribosomal RNA". Lineage: Eukaryota; Fungi; Basidiomycota; Agaricomycetes; Polyporales; Polyporaceae. The record is from RNAcentral.
CUGGCUUCGUAGUGACCUGCGGAAGGAUCAUUAUCGAGUUUUGACCGGGUUGUAGCUGGCCUUCCGAGGCAUGUGCACGCCCUGCUCAUCCACUCUACACCUGUGCACUUACUGUGGGCUUCAGAUUGCGAGGCACGCUCUUUACCGGGCUUGCGGAGCAUAUCUGUGCCUGCGUUUAUCACAAACUCUAUAAAGUAACAGAAUGUGUAUUGCGAUGUAACACAUCUAUAUACAACUUUCAGCAACGGAUCUCUUGGCUCUCGCAUCGAUGAAGAACGCAGCGAAAUGCGAUAAGUAAUGUGAAUUGCAGAAUUCAGUGAAUCAUCGAAUCUUUGAACGCACCUUGCGCUCCUUGGUAUUCCGAGGAGCAUGCCUGUUUGAGUGUCAUGAAAUCUUCAACCUACAAGCUUUUGUGGUUUGUAGGCUUGGACUUGGAGGCUUGUCGGCCGUUAUCGGUCGGCUCCUCUUAAAUGCAUUAGCUUGGUUCCUUGCGGAUCGGCUCUCGGUGUGAUAAUGUCUACGCCGCGACCGUGAAGCGUUUGGCGAGCUUCUAACCGUCUUAUAAGACAGCUUUAUGACCUCUGACCUCAAAUCAGGUAGGACUACCCGCUGAACUUAAGCAUAUCAAUAAGCGGAGGAAAAGAAACUAACAAGGAUUCCCCUAGUAACUGCGAGUGAAGCGGGAAAAGCUCAAAUUUAAAAUCUGGCGGUCUUUGGCCGUCCGAGUUGUAGUCUGGAGAAGUGCUUUCCGCGCUGGACUGAAAA